This 253-nucleotide ribosomal RNA is filed under the name uncultured bacterium. RNAcentral describes it as "partial 16S ribosomal RNA". It matches the Rfam family "Bacterial small subunit ribosomal RNA", at positions 524 to 776 of the family's 1533-position model. The record is from RNAcentral.
AACGUAGGACGCAAGCGUUAUCCGGAAUUACUGGGCGUAAAGGGCGUGCAGGCGGUCUCUUAAGUUAGGCGUGAAAGCUCCGGGUUAAACCUGGAGAGGUCGUCUGAUACUGGGGGACUAGAGUGUGGUAGAGGGGUGUGGAAUUCCGGGUUUAGUGGUGAAAUGCGUAGAUAUCCGGAGGAACACCAGUGGCGAAGGCGGCACCCUGGGCCACAACUGACGCUAAGACGCGAAAGCAUGGGUAGCGUACGGG